Oryctolagus cuniculus (rabbit) is the source of this 701-nucleotide non-coding RNA. Lineage: Eukaryota; Metazoa; Chordata; Mammalia; Lagomorpha; Leporidae. The record is from RefSeq and is a predicted model, not a curated record.
GAUUAAACACUUCAGAAGAGGAAAACUUACAAGAGCAGAGGGACUCUCAAGGAAUAAAGAUCCAAUUAGCAUAACUGCACCACUUGCUUUCCUUUAUCCAGGGACACUCUUCCUCCACUCUUUGCAAACCUUGUCCUACUCAUCAUUCAAGUUGGAACAUCAGUGCUGCCUUUGCCUGUGUUUCCUUCCUUGUGUCCUUGCCACUUCCAUCUACAUUAGGACCUUGGUAUUUGAUCACAUAGCACCUUGACACUUUCCUGUGCAUGGGCACCAUCUUGAAAAUGAAUUAUCGUUAAAAGUUGCUAUUACCAACAAAGCAUUUUAAUGUUUCCAAUUGAAGCUGUAAUAGAUCCUUAUUCCAAGUCUCUAACCAGGUACUGUGAGAAAUCACCAUGCUUCGCUGUGGGAGAGAGAACAGAGGGGAUGCUGAAGCAGUGCCUUUGGAAGCUUCUAUCAAUGAAAGGAGAUGAUAAAAAUAAGCAGUUAUGGGAAGCAGUAUAAAGUACAUUAAAAAAGAAACAGUGGUCAUUGCAAUUCAAUAGCCAAAUCCACAGAAAAAAGGAAAAUAGCAAAAAGCUUAUCCUCAGUGUUCAGAGAGUUUGCUGAUGGCUUUGUAGAUGAUGCUCCUUUGGAGCAUUACAACACAGAGCCAGGCCAGAAUUUAGAAACUGUGUGUGGUGGGCACUACAAUAAAAAGACUA